This 232-nucleotide unclassified non-coding RNA is filed under the name uncultured fungus. RNAcentral's name for it is "partial contains 18S rRNA, ITS1, 5.8S rRNA, ITS2 and 28S rRNA". The record is from RNAcentral. Lineage: Eukaryota; Fungi.
AAGGAUCAUUACCAAAAAGCGAGAAAUCGUUUUUGACUGCCUGCUUGGUGGCCUUCGGGUCGCUGACUGGUCAACCCUUUGUGAACCAAAAAACCUUUCGCUUCGGUAGCUGGGCUUGAUUGCCUGUCAGCCUGCCGUUAGCACCAACCUUUAAACCUGUUGUCAAACAUUGUCUGAUAACCAAAUUUUCGAAUGAAAAUUAAAACUUUCAACAACGGAUCUCUUGGUUCCC